This 501-nucleotide ribosomal RNA is filed under the name uncultured bacterium. RNAcentral describes it as "partial 16S ribosomal RNA". It matches the Rfam family "Bacterial small subunit ribosomal RNA", at positions 29 to 523 of the family's 1533-position model. The record is from RNAcentral.
AUUGAACGCUGGCGGCAUGCCUUACACAUGCAAGUCGAACGGCAGCACGGGUGCUUGCACCUGGUGGCGAGUGGCGAACGGGUGAGUAAUACAUCGGAACGUACCUUAUCGUGGGGGAUAACGCAGCGAAAGCUGUGCUAAUACCGCAUACGCCCUGAGGGGGAAAGCGGGGGAUAGCAAGACCUCGCGCGACUAGAGCGGCCGAUGCCUGAUUAGCUUGUUGGUGGGGUAAAAGCCCACCAAGGCGACGAUCAGUAGCUGGUCUGAGAGGACGAUCAGCCACACUGGGACUGAGACACGGCCCAGACUCCUACGGGAGGCAGCAGUGGGGAAUUUUGGACAAUGGGGGCAACCCUGAUCCAGCAAUGCCGCGUGAGUGAAGAAGGCCUUCGGGUUGUAAAGCUCUUUUGUCAGGGAAGAAACACCGGCUCUAACACAGUCUGGGAAUGACGGUACCUGAAGAAUAAGCACCGGCUAACUACGUGCCAGCAGCCGCCGUAA